ACUAAUUUACACACAGAAUACACUACACACACAAUUGAGAGGGAGAGCAGCCAUCGACUUGGAGAAGUAUAAUGGAGAAUUCUCUCCAUUAAAUCCACUUAGCAGCAACUCCCGUCUCCGAUUAAUAAUCAAGACCCAGUCACCCUUCCAUUUGACGUUAACAACAGUAACAAGAAACGACCACCACUGAACCAUCUUCCCCCUUUUUUCUGAUUUUCGCCGAGAACCCAGCUACGUCGGAGCUCAUGGCUUCGUCCCAUCCACCAGCUCCACCGUCUUGUGCUAUUUCUCUUUUGGGUUAUCCGUUCGUAUUCGCAAAAUUCUGUUCGAAUCCUAUUCGAGGAAGUGUUUCGCGAUUGAGUUGGUUGAUAGUCGAUGUUUCGGUGUUCGUUGAGAUCCGAGGCGGAUCCAGGCCAAGUAAUUCAAUCGGAUUAUUCAUCUUUUCGAUAGGAUAAUUAACAAAUCAAUCAAUAAUAAAAGAACAAUAAUAAAAUGACCAAAUUUAAACUUUUAAUAAUAUUACUAAUAUCAUAAUAUCCAUAAUUUAUUACAAUUGUCCACAACGAGUUUUUAUAUUCUGAAAAUGAUCAAUGAUGACAUCAUUACUUACAUUUUUAAAUACAUCACGCUCUGUGUAACAUACUAAACAAUCAUUUAAAUAUUGAUCACCAAUACUAUUUCGCAUUUCAUUUUUUAUGUGCUUCAUGGAAGAGAAUGCUCUCUCAACAAUUGUCGUAGCGACGGAUAAAAUUAAAGUCAACUUCACAAGUAAAUAAACAAGUGAAUAAGUCUCUACAAGAUUUGUCCCAACUAAUGCGUUUGCCAAAUCAUAUUUGCCUCAACUAAUGUUUCAAGACAGGUUGACAAGGCCCUUUUUCAAUAUAAUAUUUCCUCACUUUAUCUCGUAUUCAAGGAUCAUAAUCAGAAAUAAAUCUUCUUUCUCCCGGAUCGGCUUUAUGUGAACCCAAAUCGAGGUCAGUUAUAAGACAAGAACGAUUGACAUUGACAUUACUAGAACUUGAUUGUGAACAAUUAACCUUCUUGAAAAAAUUCUCCAUCUCAAAUUCUCAAUCACAAAACUAAAACACUUUCUCCUACAUCAAGCUAUCAAGAUACAUAGAUAAUUCCAAAUUUGGGAUUCUAAGCUCAAAAAAAGAGAAACAAAAUAAUUUUACAAUAUAACUUACGGAGAGCAAACAGAGAGAGAGAG
RNAcentral lists this long non-coding RNA (1210 nucleotides) under Capsicum annuum. RNAcentral's name for it is "long non-coding RNA (CANN_LNC002328)". Lineage: Eukaryota; Viridiplantae; Streptophyta; Magnoliopsida; Solanales; Solanaceae. The record is from RNAcentral.